RNAcentral lists this ribosomal RNA (426 nucleotides) under uncultured bacterium. Its description in RNAcentral is "partial 16S ribosomal RNA". It matches the Rfam family "Bacterial small subunit ribosomal RNA", at positions 355 to 774 of the family's 1533-position model. The record is from RNAcentral.
UGGGGAAUAUUGCACAAUGGGCGCAAGCCGAUGCAGCCAUGCCGCGUGUAUGAAGAAGGCCUUCGGGUUGUAAAGUACUUUCAGCGGGGAGGAAGGCGAUGCGGUUAAUAACCGCGUCGAUUGACGUUACCCGCAGAAGAAGCACCGGCUAACUCCGUGCCAGCAGCCGCGGUAAUACGGAGGGUGCAAGCGUUAAUCGGAAUUACUGGGCGUAAAGCGCACGCAGGCGGUAUGUCAAGUCGGAUGUGAAAUCCCCGGGCUCAACCUGGGAACUGCAUCCGAAACUGGCAGGCUUGAGUCUCGUAGAGGGGGGUAGAAUUCCAGGUGUAGCGGUGAAAUGCGUAGAGAUCUGGAGGAAUACCGGUGGCGAAGGCGGCCUCCUGGACGAAGACUGACGCUCAGGUGCGAAAGCGUGGGGAGCAAACA